Molecule: ribosomal RNA, 369 nt
Filed under: uncultured bacterium
Lineage: Bacteria
Description: bacterial SSU rRNA
Rfam family: Bacterial small subunit ribosomal RNA
Source: RNAcentral
GACGAACGCUGGCGGCGUGCCUAACACAUGCAAGUCGAGCGGAGAAUGCAGAUAUGUUUACAUAGAAGUAUUCUUAGCGGCGGACGGGUGAGUAACACGUGGGUAACCUGCCUCAAAAGUGGGGGAUAGCCUUCCGAAAGGAAGAUUAAUACCGCAUAAGCCUACAGUGCCGCAUGGUACAGCAGGAAAAGGAGCAAUCCGCUUUGAGAUGGACCCGCGGCGCAUUGGCUAGUUAGGUGAGGUAACGGCUCACCAAGGCGACGAUGCGUAGCCGACCUGAGAGGUGAUCGGCACAUUGGAACUGAGACACGGUCCAGACUCCUACGGGAGGCAGCAGUGGGGAAUAUUGCACAAUGGGCGAAAGCCUGA